AUUCUUCAAAUCAAAUUGAUCACCUUCAUUCUUACCACUUUGCAGGUGCU
This 50-nucleotide non-coding RNA is filed under the name Plasmodium falciparum 3D7. Lineage: Eukaryota; Apicomplexa; Aconoidasida; Haemosporida; Plasmodiidae. The record is from RNAcentral.